RNAcentral lists this ribosomal RNA (550 nucleotides) under Fusarium proliferatum. RNAcentral describes it as "eukaryotic LSU rRNA". The stretch from base 181 to 334 matches the Rfam family "5.8S ribosomal RNA". Lineage: Eukaryota; Fungi; Ascomycota; Sordariomycetes; Hypocreales; Nectriaceae. The record is from RNAcentral.
UUCCGUAGGGUGAACCUGCGGAGGGAUCAUUACCGAGUUUACAACUCCCAAACCCCUGUGAACAUACCAAUUGUUGCCUCGGCGGAUCAGCCCGCUCCCGGUAAAACGGGACGGCCCGCCAGAGGACCCUUAAACUCUGUUUCUAUAUGUAACUUCUGAGUAAAACCAUAAAUAAAUCAAAACUUUCAACAACGGAUCUCUUGGUUCUGGCAUCGAUGAAGAACGCAGCAAAAUGCGAUAAGUAAUGUGAAUUGCAGAAUUCAGUGAAUCAUCGAAUCUUUGAACGCACAUUGCGCCCGCCAGUAUUCUGGCGGGCAUGCCUGUUCGAGCGUCAUUUCAACCCUCAAGCCCAGCUUGGUGUUGGGACUCGCGAGUUAAACCGCGUUCCCCAAAUUGAUUGGCGGUCACGUCGAGCUUCCAUAGCGUAGUAGUAAAACCCUCGUUACUGGUAAUCGUCGCGGCCACGCCGUUAAACCCCAACUUCUGAAUGUUGACCUCGGAUCAGGUAGGAAUACCCGCUGAACUUAAGCAUAUCAAUAAGCGGAGGAAA